UAAUUAUAGUUACAUACUGAGAUAUAGUAAUGGAAGAGAUAUCAACAUCACUGGAAAAAAUGGGGAGGACACAGUGAACCACACAGUCUCAUCUCUCUCUGCUGGGACUAAAUACUCUUUCACUCUCUUCACUGUGUUUGAAGAAGUGAACAGCACAGGGUAUGACCUCUUAACUGUUACAAAAUUCAACUGUUCUACCUCACACUGGACCGUCAGCAAUUUCACCAUAGAGGCAGAGGUUCUGGGGGCCUUCACCAUGGCAACAGCUAAUAAUGGGAGUGAUGGUGAUGUGACUGGCACUGUGGUGGGAAACAAAGUGACCUUCUCUCACCUUAAUCCUGGGGAUACUUACAGUGUGUCACUCUAUUAUGAGUUGGAUCAGGAGAAACUCCCACAGUGCACACACAAUUUAACUUUUGUUACAGUUCCUGCGAUAGUGCCCGAUUUUAGUUGUAACAGUCGAGACUAUUCUCUGAGUCUGAAGUGGGAGAAACCAAUUGGUGAGUGGAGUGGAGUGGAGGUGAAUUUGAGUGGGAAAAGUUUUAAUUCAACAUCAGAUAAUGAACUGACAGUGGAUGGGCUGCAGCCUGCACAGACCUACAGCAUCAGCAUCACAACACUCUCUGGAGCCACGAGGGGAUUAACUCAACCUUUCAGCUGUCAA
Long non-coding RNA from Sardina pilchardus (European sardine), 664 nucleotides. RefSeq lists it as uncharacterized. The record is from RefSeq and is a predicted model, not a curated record. Lineage: Eukaryota; Metazoa; Chordata; Actinopteri; Clupeiformes; Clupeidae. The transcript has 3 exons.